This 1124-nucleotide ribosomal RNA is filed under the name uncultured bacterium. Its description in RNAcentral is "bacterial SSU rRNA". It matches the Rfam family "Bacterial small subunit ribosomal RNA", at positions 47 to 1162 of the family's 1533-position model. The record is from RNAcentral.
AUUGAUUUUAUGCUUGCAUAAAUGAUUUUUUGGAUUCGGAGCGAGUGGCGAACUGGUGAGUAACACGUGGGUAACCUGCCCCGAAGCGGGGGAUAACAUUUGGAAACAAGUGCUAAUACCGCAUAAUUAGUUGGAACCGCAUGGUUCCAACUUGAAAGAUGGCUCUGCUAUCACUUUGGGAUGGACCCGCGCCGUAUUAGUUAGUUGGUGAGAUAAAAGCCCACCAAGACGAUGAUACGUAGCCGACCUGAGAGGGUAAUCGGCCACAUUGGGACUGAGACACGGCCCAGACUCCUACGGGAGGCAGCAGUAGGGAAUCUUCCACAAUGGACGAAAGUCUGAUGGAGCAACGCCGCGUGAGUGAUGAAGGUUUUCGGAUCGUAAAACUCUGUUGUUAAAGAAGAACAAGUGUUAGAGUAACUGUUAACACUUUGACGGUAUUUAACCAGAAAGCCACGGCUAACUACGUGCCAGCAGCCGCGGUAAUACGUAGGUGGCAAGCGUUGUCCGGAUUUAUUGGGCGUAAAGCGAGCGCAGGCGGUUUUGUAAGUCUGCUGUGAAAGCCCUCAGCUCAACUGAGGAAGUGCAGUGGAAACUACAAAACUUGAGUACAGAAGAGGAAAGUGGAACUCCAUGUGUAGUGGUGAAAUGCGUAGAUAUAUGGAAGAACACCAGUGGCGAAGGCGGCUUUCUGGUCUGUUACUGACGCUGAGGCUCGAAAGCAUGGGUAGCGAACAGGAUUAGAUACCCUGGUAGUCCAUGCCGUAAACGAUGAAUACUAGGUGUUGGAGGGUUUCCGCCCUUCAGUGCCGCAGCUAACGCAUUAAGUAUUCCGCCUGGGGAGUACGACCGCAAGGUUGAAACUCAAAGGAAUUGACGGGGGCCCGCACAAGUGGUGGAGCAUGUGGUUUAAUUCGAUGCUACGCGAAGAACCUUACCAGCUCUUGACAUCUUCUGCCAACCCAAGAGAUUGGGCGUUCCCUUCGGGGACAGAAUGACAGGUGGUGCAUGGUUGUCGUCAGCUCGUGUCGUGAGAUGUUGGGUUAAGUCCCGCAACGGGCGCAACCCUUAUUAUUAGUUGCCAGCAUUUAGUUGGGCACUCUAGUGAGACUGCCGGUGAUAAA